This 114-nucleotide ribosomal RNA is filed under the name Pteropus alecto (black flying fox). Lineage: Eukaryota; Metazoa; Chordata; Mammalia; Chiroptera; Pteropodidae. The record is from RNAcentral.
CAGAAAUGAGAGAAGUCCCUGAACAGGCCUGAUUCCAUCCGAUCUCAGAAGCUAAGCAGGGUCAGGCCUGGUUAGUACUUGGAUGGGAGACCACCCAGGAAGACCAGGUGCUGU